Long non-coding RNA from Apis florea (little honeybee), 1188 nucleotides. The record is from RefSeq and is a predicted model, not a curated record. Lineage: Eukaryota; Metazoa; Arthropoda; Insecta; Hymenoptera; Apidae.
CCGGCUAGAGCUAAUUGGGCGUGAAUUUAGUAUGAAUAGGUCGCCAUCUGGCGUGAAAAGUUUGUAAUCCAACUUUAAACUCGAUUUACUUCACGACAUUGCUCCAAGGAAUAUGUAGAAAUUUUUAUAAAAUGUUAAUUAAUUGGAAAUGGACUACAAACCUUGAACGAGAGACGCGACCUUUGGUGUGAGAGAAUAAAGAUAAACGUGUAAUUUGCCUACGAAAAAGUGUACGUACGAUUGUGAUUACGAGUGUCAUCAAUCGCGAGAAAGUAUGUAUAUACUCGCGACCUUUUACAUCGUCACUUGUUAAUUCACAACGUCCUUGUAAUAAAUUAGGACGAAACUCACGGCCAGCUUACUAUAUACUUGCCUACGUGCCCGGUGAACAUCGCUAGAUCUAUCGAUGGAAAAUAAACGGGAAACAAAACGAAAGCGAAGAUAUGUAAAUCUUUCAGUAUCCUCCACAAAGAUUCUGGAUGAGAAAUAGUCGGCGCGUGGUAAGAGACUGGUAUUACUGGAAGACAAAGAAGCUAAGGAAAGAGGAAUAGCGGAAGAUAUAUAUAUAUAUAAGAUUCGCAGCUAAAUCGUCGAUGCUGUUACGUACGAAGAGCAUCGUUCACCGAGCUGGCAAAUGGACAACAUCUGCAAUGGACAGAUACGUGUUGUGAUACGUGUUGAAUACGUGUUGAAUACAUGUUGUGUCUUUAGUACUUAGGAGUGAGAUAGAGAUAGAGAGAAAGAUUUCAGGGAGGAAUUAACUGAAAUCAAGAGUAGGUGGGAGGUCGAAUAGCGUCCUCUCAUUAUGGCCGCCCCUUGGUCCCGGGAUCGUUCGACGAUCCUUGUACGUGUGUCGUCUCUUGUUCACGCUAAAGAUGGGUGUAUAACAAUCGUAUACAGUAUACCUCCAAAUUUAGAUUCGAGGGUGACUUACUGGUGGGUUUUUCGAGCACUCUUUUGCGAACCUGUGCUAGACAUACCUCGUGGGGCACCUUUAAACAAAACGAUCAUUCGUUAUUGGGCUCGGUUCGAGUCGAUCGGAUUCACUAGGAUCGAUAUAGGGUCGCUAAGAUCAUCGCUUUUAUGACGAAGGAGGCGUAAGUCUUUGAUUGGUUAUCGAUUUUCGUUGCUCGUUACUGGUCGCUGUCGAGCUGUUAUUUACAACCGUCUGUUGAUAAAUAUCGAUCG